GAUGAACGCUAGCGGCAGGCCUAACACAUGCAAGUCGAGGGGUAGAAAGAGCUUGCUUUUUUGAGACCGGCGCACGGGUGAGUAACGCGUAUGCAACCUACCUUAUACAGGGGAAUAGCCCGAAGAAAUUCGGAUUAAUGCUCCAUGGUUUAUCGAUAUGGCAUCGUAUUGAUAAUAAAGAUUUAUCGGUAUAAGAUGGGCAUGCGUAUCAUUAGCUAGUUGGUGUGGUAACGGCAUACCAAGGCAACGAUGAUUAGGGGUCCUGAGAGGGAGAUCCCCCACACUGGUACUGAGACACGGACCAGACUCCUACGGGAGGCAGCAGUGAGGAAUAUUGGUCAAUGGAGGCAACUCUGAACCAGCCAUGCCGCGUGCAGGAUGACGGUCCUAUGGAUUGUAAACUGCUUUUGUACAGGAAGAAACCUCCCUACGAGUAGGGACUUGACGGUACUGUAAGAAUAAGGAUCGGCUAACUCCGUGCCAGCCGCCGCCGUAACAC
This 499-nucleotide ribosomal RNA is filed under the name uncultured bacterium. RNAcentral describes it as "bacterial SSU rRNA". It matches the Rfam family "Bacterial small subunit ribosomal RNA", at positions 28 to 526 of the family's 1533-position model. The record is from RNAcentral.